CCUACGGGAGGCAGCAGUGAGGAAUAUUGGACAAUGGGGGCAACCCUGAUCCAGCCAUGCCGCNUGCAGGAAGACUGCCCUAUGGGUUGUAAACUGCUUUUAUACAGGAAGAAACCUACUUACGUGUAAGUAGCUGACGGUACUGUAAGAAUAAGGAUCGGCUAACUCCGUGCCAGCAGCCGCGGUAAUA
Molecule: ribosomal RNA, 190 nt
Filed under: uncultured marine bacterium SS2
Lineage: Bacteria
Description: partial 16S rRNA
Rfam family: Bacterial small subunit ribosomal RNA
Source: RNAcentral